Long non-coding RNA from Dermochelys coriacea (leatherback sea turtle), 982 nucleotides. RefSeq lists it as uncharacterized. The transcript has 2 exons. Lineage: Eukaryota; Metazoa; Chordata; Testudines; Dermochelyidae. The record is from RefSeq and is a predicted model, not a curated record.
ACUACAACCUGUCCUGGUUAUACUAGGAUCAUAUGCUAGUUAAUACGUUUUAAACAUACACCUGUUUUUUCCCUAGUGUGGACAAAAACUAAGGGCAUGCCGCUGUAGUGCUGUAAUGUAGGUUCUUCCUGCAUCAAUGGAAGCGGUUUUUCCACCGAUAUAGAUAAUCAAUGUAGAUGCUGCAUCUACAUAGGGGGUGAGGUCUGCUUAAUUAAAGUGCAAUGGGGUGUGAAUUUUUCACACCUCAUAGUGACUACCUAGGUUGUUCUAAAUUUUAAAUGCAAAGAGGGCUGGGAUUGCAGUCCAGAAGCAGCAAGGUCACCCAAUAGGAAGGUUCCCUGUUGCUCCACAGUUAUCGCCAGGGGUCCAAUUAAGGAUGGUAGUGUUUGCACAGGGAGACACCCUAACUGCGUGGCAGAUGCAAUGCAGGGUGUUAACUGAGGAGUGUAACACAUGGGUAAUGAUGGAAGUAUCAGGCUUCUGAGGAGGGGGGGGAAAAAAAGCACAUACCAGAGAUGGAAUGCAGGUCUGUGAGAGUCAGGAAAUGUCUGUUUCCAUAGCGCUGUGUGCUAUACCAUGAGCCUAGCAACAGGGAACAGAGAAAGCAUGUUGGGUCUGAUUCUCCAUUACCCUACCAGUGGCAAUUUUACCCCCUUUUACUUUGCAAAUGUCUACACACAGUACACAGAAACAGAGAAUCAGGCCCCUUGGUUCCAAAUAUUAUCUCAUGUAACCAGUUUAUGAAGUUACAGAACUCUAAAUAUAAUCCUUGUUUAUUUAACGGGGCCAGUAGGACUGAAGGAAAUCCAGGAGAUUUUAUUUGACAGGAUUUGUUGAUGGUUCAAGCGGCCAGCCUGCAGAAGGAAGCAUUAUAUCAGUCUAAUGGCAAGCGGACAACAGAAACAUCGAUAGACUCAACUAUUCCUUUGUUUUAAGACGUGACAAAUCAUCCCAGCUGAUAGGAUUUUAUUAAUAUUAUUGA